CUUCCACCAGGAUUGGCCACCCCCGAGGCAGGCGAGGAGCCCCGAGCGGGGCUCUGAGUGUUAGGAGGAGCCGAGCGAUCCAAAGCAUGACCUGCAGGCUGAGAGCAGCCAGGCGGCCUUGGAACAACUGGCCGAGCCACCACGAGACCCAAACCCGCACUUUGGGAGGGGCCUGGGGUCCACAGAAAACGCCCACACGCCCUCAGCGCAGCCUGCCUGCAGCCCCCAGCCCAGCCAACAAGGCCCGGGCGAGGCCACUUCACUGCCCAACUCCAAGCCCAGCCCAGGUUGUGAAGGCUGAAGAGCUAACCUGGCCGGCGUCCCAGGCAGAGACUGGGAGCGAGCAGGGACUCUGGAAGCCGGCAGAGCUGAUCUGCUGGCUGCCUGACUUGGGGCCGUUGCCUCCACUUCUGAGCCUGGUGUUCUCGGCUGCAGAGUGGGGACGGCUAAUGCCUACCUUAUAGGGGGAGGAAGAAAUGAGGGGACAACGCAGCCGCUCUGUGCACAUUACACCACACAGUCCUCGCAGUUAGGGUUCGUGUUCUCAGUGCACCUGAAGAAAACAAGGCUCAGAAAAGUUCUGGAGGUCAGAAGUUCAAAAUUAAUUUCAACGAGCUGAAGUCGAGAAGUCAGCGGGCUGGCUCCUUCUGGAGGCUUCAGAGAGAAUCUGCUCCCUGACUUUUCCAGCUUCUGGAGGUGCCUGUUCUCCUUGGCUGGCACGACUCAACCUCUUGCUUGCGUUGUCACACCUCGUCUCCUCUCCUGUAGGAGAAUCUCCUUGGGCCUCCCACUUGUAAAGAUCCUCGUGAUCACGUCAGUGGGCCCGCCUGUAAUUCAGGACCCUCUUCCCAUCUUAGUCACAUCUGCAAAGUCCCCUCUGCCGUGGAAGGCAACACAUUCACAGGUCUGGGGAUCAGGAUGUGGACAUCUCAGGGGUCCAUUUUUCAGCUUACCACGGGAUCCUUUUUAAACAUAAGUGGGGUCACGUCUCUCCUCAGCUCACCCCUCUAUUCCCAGAAGCUCCGCCUCUCAGUGUAAAAGCCACACCCUUCCCAUGGCCCAUGAGAUCCUCUGUGAUCUGGAUCCUACUCUUCUCUGACUCAGAUCCUCCCACCUUUCCCCUCACUUUCACUCUGCUCGAGCCACAUUGGGCCUCCUUGCUAGGUCCCAUUAAUACCAACCACAGUCUCGCCUCAGGGCCUUUGCACUGGCUGUUCCCUCUGCCCAGAAGGCUCUUCUCUCCAAUACCCUCACGGUUCACUCCCUCACAUCACUGAGGUCUCUGUUCCAGUCACCAAGAGAGGCCUUCCUGUACCUCCCUGUAUAAAAUAAAGCUCCGGCCACACACCCCAUCCCUCUCUGUCCCAUUACUCUGCUUUAUUUUUGUUCUUGAUCCUCAUCACCUCCUGAGAUCAAUUUUUGGUUUAUUGGUUUACAAUCUGCUUCUCUACUAGGACGUAAGUUAUUUGACAGGAGGAAUUCUGUUCAUGUAUCCCUGCCGCUGGCUGGUGCCUGGCAUGCAGUAGGUGCUCAAUAAAUACUUCUGAGAUGG
Molecule: long non-coding RNA, 1552 nt
Filed under: Equus caballus (horse)
Lineage: Eukaryota; Metazoa; Chordata; Mammalia; Perissodactyla; Equidae
Description: lncRNA (ENSECAG00000048468.1)
Source: RNAcentral